Long non-coding RNA from Pseudophryne corroboree (corroboree frog), 982 nucleotides. RefSeq lists it as uncharacterized. The transcript is spliced from 4 exons. Lineage: Eukaryota; Metazoa; Chordata; Amphibia; Anura; Myobatrachidae. The record is from RefSeq and is a predicted model, not a curated record.
UGACGCUAGAGACCUACAUCACGUGUUUCGGGAGACAUACGUCAUGUGAUCAGACGUCACGUGGCUACAUAUCGCUAGCUGGUGGCAAAGUAUGUUGCAGUGUGGUGUUACUAGUCUCAGCUACAGCUGGAUACCAGAGAAUGCUAGUGCUUGUAGUUCUACACAAGCAAAAUACCCCCUGCUUCAGAGCAAGCACAACGGCAAGCUGCUGCUGGAAGCCCGGACCAAUCCCCUUCUCAGCCCCCCUCCCCUUCUGUGGCCCAAUCCCCCUCUCCUUCCCAAUCCCCUUCUCAGCCCCCCUCCCCUUCUGUGGCCCAAUCCCCCUCUCCUUCCCAAUCCCCUUCUCUGCCCCCCUCCCCUUCUGUGGCCCAAUCCCCCUCUCCUUCCCAAUCCCCUUCUCUGCCCCCCUCCCCUUCUGUGGCCCAAUCCCCCUCUCCUUCCCCCUCCCCUUCUCUGCCCCCCUCCCCCUCUCUUUACCAAUACCCCUCUCUGUCCCCCUCCCCCUCUGUAGGCCAAACCACCACUCCGCCCACCUCCCCCUCUCUUUCCCAUUCCCCCUCUCUGGCCCCCUCCCCCUCUGUGGCCCAAACACCCUCUCCGCCCCCCUCCCCCUCUCAAUCAGACCCACCCUCUGUAAACACCUCCCCAUUCCAUCCUCCUUCCCCAAUCCCUCCUCCUUCCCCAAUCCAUCCUCCUUCCCCCAUCCAGCCUCCUUCCCCAAUCCCUCCUACUUCCCCAAUCCAUCCUCCUUCCCCCAUCCAGCCUCCUUCCCCCAUCCAGCCUCCUUCCCCACCCAGUGAAUGGGCAGCAGAAGCCCCUGCGGAUCUUCAGGGUACUGCGCAUGUGGCAGAUGAGAAUGGUGCAGUUGGAGAUCCCACAAGCCUGUCUGGCAUCCUUGCUAGCCUAAAGGCAAAUUUGCAGGCCAUGCUGGCCGAUGUUGACCGGCUGCAACAAUUUUUUUAAUUUAAAACUAUUUUUUAUU